RNAcentral lists this ribosomal RNA (492 nucleotides) under uncultured bacterium. RNAcentral describes it as "partial 16S ribosomal RNA". It matches the Rfam family "Bacterial small subunit ribosomal RNA", at positions 29 to 507 of the family's 1533-position model. The record is from RNAcentral.
AGUGAACGCUGGCGGUAGGCCUAACACAUGCAAGUCGAACGGCAGCACAGUAAGAGCUUGCUCUUACGGGUGGCGAGUGGCGGACGGGUGAGGAAUACAUCGGAAUCUACUUUUUCGUGGGGGAUAACGUAGGGAAACUUACGCUAAUACCGCAUACGACCUACGGGUGAAAGCAGGGGAUCUUCGGACCUUGCGCGAUUGAAUGAGCCGAUGUUGGAUUAGCUAGUUGGCGGGGUAAAGGCCCACCAAGGCGACGAUCCGUAGCUGGUCUGAGAGGAUGAUCAGCCACACUGGAACUGAGACACGGUCCAGACUCCUACGGGAGGCAGCAGUGGGGAAUAUUGGACAAUGGGCGCAAGCCUGAUCCAGCCAUACCGCGUGGGUGAAGAAGGCCUUCGGGUUGUAAAGCCCUUUUGUUGGGAAAGAAAGGCAGCAGGUUAAUACCCCGCUGUUCUGACGGUACCCAAAGAAUAAGCACCGGCUAACUUCGUG